GAGAACAAACACGGUGAUUCUGCCUGUGAAGGGCACAUGUUUCCUCUGUUUGUAACAGAACAACUCAACUCUUGGCCCGAGAGAGAGAUUCAUGAUAGAACUUGGGUGUUAUAAGUUCACAGAGAAAAGGUAAAGUGUAUUACCCAAAGGUAGCAACUGAUCCAUGGCUUUAAAACUUACAAUUUAGUUCAUUUUGAUGCUCUCUCAAAGAGGCAGCAUGGAGUGAGACAGUGAGGGAAGCUGGACUGAAGGAAAAUGUGAAUCUGAACUGCAACAAGAUCAGUUAUAGUAUGUAGAGCUGUUCUUAUUUGACACGAUCUUCAAGGGAGAAAGUGAGAGAGGGAAAAUGUCUUUAUUGAGUAUGCCUGGAGAUUUUAAAGUUGCUAAUGUAUUGAAUAUCGUUGGAGUCGUGGAUGUUGUCAACAGAGAAGCGACUCAUCGAGCUGCAACGAUACAUGCAAACUUGGAGUUUCGCGUUACACUGCAUAUGAAGGGCACAUAUUUCCUCUGCCUGAGAAAGAGAUUCGCAAAAGAACUUGUGUAUGUAAUAAUCCGUUCUCUUAUAUAUUAGUAAAGGUGACACGACAUCUCUCUUACACCAGCUAACGGAGCAAAGGGAACUAUUUCCAGGAAUCAAACGUAUUCCACUGGAGUUGUGUGAAUUAGAAUCAGAGUUGUCAAAAGAGAUGAACCUACCUAUCUUUUGCUAUCAGGAACAU
Molecule: long non-coding RNA, 719 nt
Organism: Solanum stenotomum
Lineage: Eukaryota; Viridiplantae; Streptophyta; Magnoliopsida; Solanales; Solanaceae
Exons: 4
Source: RefSeq, a predicted model, not a curated record